This is a non-coding RNA of Malus domestica (apple), 1176 nucleotides long. Lineage: Eukaryota; Viridiplantae; Streptophyta; Magnoliopsida; Rosales; Rosaceae. The record is from RefSeq and is a predicted model, not a curated record.
GCCCGGAUUGCUCCCAACCCGCUUCGUUUCCGGGUCGAUUCUGAAACCGCGACACUGCCUUGCCUGGCCAUCCACACAGUGAGAGAGCGAGAGGGAUGGCGGGACUCCUAGCAUGGGCAGCAGACGUAGUGGGAGGAGGUGGCGGGCAAGACAACGAACAAGACAUCCCGCUGAUAUUCACUCAGGAGUAGCAGAAGUGUGUCCUGGACUUGGAUCACAAAGCAUCUUCUCUCGGCCGUUCGAUCCAUAACCUCCGGCUCAGACUCCCUCCUUCCGACAUCUCUCAGCGCCUCCCUGAUCUCCACGCCCACUCCCUGGCUUCCAACGCCGCCCUUGCUCUCCAGUUGAACUCCCAUUCCACCACCCGCGAACAGGCAUUGCAGGAAGAGAAUGCUGCAUAUGAAAGCGCUGUAUCCAAUUGUGAAAGUAAAAUACAGGAGAGAAUUCAAGAAGCAGAUUUGCUUAAGAGGAAGCUCACAGUGAGCCUUACGUUUCCCACAACUUAUUUUUUCAUGAUGCUCUUAUUCAUCAUGUAUUGUAGUCCUACACUUGUAUCUUGAUCUUUAUUUGAUGAUGUUGAGGACAUCGAACUUUAGUUAAUGGAAAGUCACACCCUUUCUGAAAUUCGGUGAUUACGGUUAUCAGGAGAUGGACGAGAGUGAAGGGAAUUUGAGAGAUGAACUUGAAAAUGCAGAAACCGCAUUGGAUGCCAGUCGAUCUGGCCAAUCAGAUGAAUCCACUGGUGACCCAAAUACGACAGUUGAAACAGAAAAUGACAUUGAAGCUUCAAAGAAGGCUAUACUUGAAAAGUUCGAGGAGAGGAAAAAAGACUUGGUCAGUUGCAUCUUUCCUUUUGAUCUUACAGUAGUUUCAUCUUCUCCAUUGCAAUUGCUUGUUUGUAUUUUUGAAUUUUAUCUUGAUUGCUGGAAAGAUGUUGUAUUCUGUUUGAAUUUUAUCUUGAUUGCUCUACAUUUUAGCUUUUGAACAUAUUGGUCUUCAUCAAGAUCGUUUUGAAGAGUGUUCCAUGAAGACGCUAUCGAUAUUUCCAAAUUCUGUUUGUAUGCUAAACCUAAUAUAUCUUGUAUUGUAAAAGAUGGAGGGAAUGAGAAGUUUAGAACACAAGAGGAGAGGGGGUGUGAAGAACUUUGUUGUAUGAAAUAUACUUGGUUUCAAAUA